RNAcentral lists this ribosomal RNA (559 nucleotides) under Massilia agri. RNAcentral describes it as "bacterial SSU rRNA". It matches the Rfam family "Bacterial small subunit ribosomal RNA", at positions 328 to 881 of the family's 1533-position model. Lineage: Bacteria; Pseudomonadati; Pseudomonadota; Betaproteobacteria; Burkholderiales; Oxalobacteraceae. The record is from RNAcentral.
GGGGGGGGCCUUUCGGGAGGCAGCAGUGGGGAAUUUUGGACAAUGGGCGCAAGCCUGAUCCAGCAAUGCCGCGUGAGUGAAGAAGGCCUUCGGGUUGUAAAGCUCUUUUGUCAGGGAAGAAACGGCUGAGGAUAAUACCUUCGGCUAAUGACGGUACCUGAAGAAUAAGCACCGGCUAACUACGUGCCAGCAGCCGCGGUAAUACGUAGGGUGCAAGCGUUAAUCGGAAUUACUGGGCGUAAAGCGUGCGCAGGCGGUUUUGUAAGUCUGACGUGAAAGCCCCGGGCUCAACCUGGGAAUUGCGUUGGAGACUGCAAGGCUUGAAUCUGGCAGAGGGGGGUAGAAUUCCACGUGUAGCAGUGAAAUGCGUAGAGAUGUGGAGGAACACCGAUGGCGAAGGCAGCCCCCUGGGUCAAGAUUGACGCUCAUGCACGAAAGCGUGGGGAGCAAACAGGAUUAGAUACCCUGGUAGUCCACGCCCUAAACGAUGUCUACUAGUUGUCGGGUUUUAAUUAACUUGGUAACGCAGCUAACGCGUGAAGUAGACCGCCUGGAGUCU